RNAcentral lists this transfer RNA (70 nucleotides) under Bundoksia longissima. RNAcentral's name for it is "tRNA-Trp". The record is from RNAcentral. Lineage: Eukaryota; Metazoa; Arthropoda; Insecta; Blattodea; Blattidae.
AAGGCUUUAAGUUAAUUUAAACUAAUAUCCUUCAAAGCUAUAAAUAAAGAUUAAGCUUCUUUAAGUCUUA